AGCGAACGCUGGCGGCAGGCUUAACACAUGCAAGUCGAACGGGCAUCUUCGGAUGUCAGCGGCAGACGGGUGAGUAACACGUGGGAACGUACCCUUCGGUUCGGAACAACUCUGGGAAACUGGAGCUAAUACCGGAUACGCCCUUAUGGGGAAAGGUUUACUGCCGAAGGAUCGGCCCGCGUCUGAUUAGCUAGUUGGUGGGGUAACGGCCUACCAAGGCGACGAUCAGUAGCUGGUCUGAGAGGAUGAUCAGCCACACUGGGACUGAGACACGGCCCAGACUCCUACGGGAGGCAGCAGUGGGGAAUAUUGGACAAUGGGCGCAAGCCUGAUCCAGCCACGCCGCGUGAGUGAUGAAGGCCUUAGGGUUGUAAAGCUCUUUUGUCCGGGACGAUAAUGACGGUACCGGAAGAAUAAGCCCCGGCUAACUUCGUG
RNAcentral lists this ribosomal RNA (435 nucleotides) under uncultured bacterium. Its description in RNAcentral is "partial 16S ribosomal RNA". It matches the Rfam family "Bacterial small subunit ribosomal RNA", at positions 29 to 507 of the family's 1533-position model. The record is from RNAcentral.